RNAcentral lists this ribosomal RNA (465 nucleotides) under uncultured Klebsiella sp. RNAcentral describes it as "bacterial SSU rRNA". It matches the Rfam family "Bacterial small subunit ribosomal RNA", at positions 338 to 795 of the family's 1533-position model. Lineage: Bacteria; Pseudomonadati; Pseudomonadota; Gammaproteobacteria; Enterobacterales; Enterobacteriaceae. The record is from RNAcentral.
CCUACGGGUGGCUGCAGUGGGGAAUAUUGCACGAUGGGCGCAAGCCUGAUGCAGCCAUGCCGCGUGUGUGAAGAAGGCCUUCGGGUUGUAAAGCACUUUCAGCGGGGAGGAAGGCGGUGGGGUUAAUAACCUCAUCGAUUGACGUUACCCGCAGAAGAAGCACCGGCUAACUCCGUGCCAGCAGCCGCGGUAAUACGGAGGGUGCAAGCGUUAAUCGGAAUUACUGGGCGUAAAGCGCACGCAGGCGGUCUGUCAAGUCGGAUGUGAAAUCCCCGGGCUCAACCUGGGAACUGCAUUCGAAACUGGCAGGGUAGAGUCUUGUAGAGGGGGGUAGAAUUCCAGGUGUAGCGGUGAAAUGCGUAGAGAUCUGGAGGAAUACCGGUGGCGAAGGCGGCCCCCUGGACAAAGACUGACGCUCAGGUGCGAAAGCGUGGGGAGCAAACAGGAUUAGAUACCCGGGUAGGC